This 84-nucleotide transfer RNA is filed under the name Novosphingobium sp. FSW06-99. RNAcentral describes it as "tRNA-Leu". It matches the Rfam family "tRNA". Rfam says of the family: Transfer RNA (tRNA) molecules are approximately 80 nucleotides in length. Their secondary structure includes four short double-helical elements and three loops (D, anti-codon, and T loops). The record is from RNAcentral. Lineage: Bacteria; Pseudomonadati; Pseudomonadota; Alphaproteobacteria; Sphingomonadales; Sphingomonadaceae.
GCCCCUGUGGUGGAAUGGUAGACGCGUCCGACUCAAAAUCGGAUGGAGAGAUCCGUGCCCGUUCGAGUCGGGCCAGGGGCACCA